This 310-nucleotide long non-coding RNA is filed under the name Elaeis guineensis (African oil palm). RNAcentral's name for it is "long non-coding RNA (EGUI_LNC025623)". The record is from RNAcentral. Lineage: Eukaryota; Viridiplantae; Streptophyta; Magnoliopsida; Arecales; Arecaceae.
GGAGAGAGUGUUUCGAUUCCAAUCGAUAAGUUUUUUGACGAUUUUCUUGAGGAGAAAAUCCCAAUGACUUGAUGAAAUUGAAGAAUAGUGAAGGGAUAAUCCCAGGUAUUUGAUAGAAAAAUGAGUAGUUUGGCAACUUAUAAUCACUGUCAAAUCCUUACUUUCUGCACCCAUAAGGUUCAUCUCUAUCAAGAGAGAUUUGUUAAAGUUGAUUUUUGAACUAGUUACCAUCUCGAAUGAGUAAAAAAUGAGUUUGAAGAUGUUGGCAAAUCUUGUUGAUGCACCGUAGAAGAGCAAGGUGUCGUCAGCG